RNAcentral lists this non-coding RNA (20 nucleotides) under Arabidopsis thaliana (thale cress). Lineage: Eukaryota; Viridiplantae; Streptophyta; Magnoliopsida; Brassicales; Brassicaceae. The record is from RNAcentral.
UCAAGGCUGCAUGAUCCGUA